UACGAAGGGGGCGAGCGUUGUUCGGAAUUACUGGGCGUAAAGGGCGCGCAGGCGGCCUUAGAAGUCAGAUGUGAAAGCCCCGGGCUCAACCUGGGAAUGGCAUUUGAUACUCUGAGGCUGGAGUACGGGAGAGGAGAGUGGAAUUCCCAGUGUAGAGGUGAAAUUCGUAGAUAUUCGCAAGAACACCAGUGGCGAAGGCGGCUCACUGGCCCGAUACUGACGCUGAGGCACGAAAGCGUGGGGAGCAAAUAGG
RNAcentral lists this ribosomal RNA (253 nucleotides) under uncultured bacterium. Its description in RNAcentral is "partial 16S ribosomal RNA". It matches the Rfam family "Bacterial small subunit ribosomal RNA", at positions 524 to 776 of the family's 1533-position model. The record is from RNAcentral.